UAUAUCGGAACGUACCCUGGAGUGGGGGAUAACGUAGCGAAAGUUACGCUAAUACCGCAUACGAUCUAAGGAUGAAAGUGGGGGAUUCGCAAGAACCUCAUGCUCGUGGAGCGGCCGAUAUCUGAUUAGCUAGUUGGUAGGGUAAAAGCCUACCAAGGCAUCGAUCAGUAGCUGGUCUGAGAGGACGACCAGCCACACUGGAACUGAGACACGGUCCAG
This 219-nucleotide ribosomal RNA is filed under the name uncultured bacterium. Its description in RNAcentral is "partial 16S ribosomal RNA". It matches the Rfam family "Bacterial small subunit ribosomal RNA", at positions 114 to 334 of the family's 1533-position model. The record is from RNAcentral.